UACAGAGACCUCAAGCGUUAUCCGGAAUCAUUGGGCGUAAAGCGUACCGAUAGGUGGUUGAAAUAGUCUUGGGUGAAAGCCCGAAGCUUAACUUCGGAGUUUGCUUAAGAUACUUUUCGACUAGAGGGGCAAAUAGGGAACUGGAACGAACGGUGUAGUAGUGAAAUGCGUUGAUAUCGUUCGGAACACCGAAAGCGAAGGCAGGUUCCUGGGUGCCACCUGACACUGCUAGGACGAAAGCGUGGGUAGCGAAUGGG
Molecule: ribosomal RNA, 257 nt
Filed under: uncultured bacterium
Lineage: Bacteria
Description: partial 16S ribosomal RNA
Rfam family: Bacterial small subunit ribosomal RNA
Source: RNAcentral